CACCGCGGUUAUACGAGAGGCCCAAGUUGACCAGCAUUCGGCGUAAAGGGUGGUUAAAAUUUUCCAAAACUAAAGCCGAACGCCCUCACGACUGUCGUACGUUUCCGAGGGUGGGAAGACCUACUACGAAAGUGGCUUUAAUAUCUUUGACCCCACGAAAGCUGUGAAA
Molecule: ribosomal RNA, 169 nt
Filed under: Malacoctenus triangulatus (saddled blenny)
Lineage: Eukaryota; Metazoa; Chordata; Actinopteri; Blenniiformes; Labrisomidae
Description: partial 12S rRNA
Source: RNAcentral